This 29-nucleotide small RNA is filed under the name Bombyx mori (domestic silkworm). RNAcentral describes it as "ovarian small RNA-25172". Lineage: Eukaryota; Metazoa; Arthropoda; Insecta; Lepidoptera; Bombycidae. The record is from RNAcentral.
UCACCGUCCUUCGCGGUCACCCUACCUUC